GCUGACGGUGGCCUAAUGGUUAGGGAGUUGGGCUCCAGAUCGAGCGGUCUGGGUUCGAGCGCUGGCCGAGGUCA
Molecule: non-coding RNA, 74 nt
Organism: Desmophyllum pertusum
Lineage: Eukaryota; Metazoa; Cnidaria; Anthozoa; Scleractinia; Caryophylliidae
Source: the annotation of a GenBank genome assembly